Molecule: ribosomal RNA, 520 nt
Filed under: Capra hircus (goat)
Lineage: Eukaryota; Metazoa; Chordata; Mammalia; Artiodactyla; Bovidae
Description: partial 16S large subunit ribosomal RNA
Rfam family: Bacterial large subunit ribosomal RNA
Source: RNAcentral
ACCUCCAGCAUUUCCAGUAUUGGAGGCACUGCCUGCCCAGUGACUAAACGUUAAACGGCCGCGGUAUUCUGACCGUGCAAAGGUAGCAUAAUCAUUUGUUCUCUAAAUAAGGACUUGUAUGAACGGCCACACGAGGGUUUUACUGUCUCUUACUUCCAAUCAGUGAAAUUGACCUCCCCGUGAAGAGGCGGGAAUGAAUUAACAAGACGAGAAGACCCUAUGGAGCUUUAACUAACUAGUCCAAAAGAAAUAAAUUUAACCACCAAGGGAUAACAACAUCCUUUAUGGACUAGCAGUUUUGGUUGGGGUGACCUCGGAGAACAAGAGAUCCUCCGAGCGAUUUUAAAGACUAGACUUACAAGUCAAAUCAAAUUAUCGCUUAUUGAUCCAAAAAACUUGAUCAACGGAACAAGUUACCCUAGGGAUAACAGCGCAAUCCUAUUCAAGAGUCCAUAUCGACAAUAGGGUUUACGACCUCGAUGUUGGAUCAGGACAUCCUGAUGGUGCAACCGCUAUCAAA